Molecule: long non-coding RNA, 2798 nt
Organism: Pogoniulus pusillus (Red-fronted tinkerbird)
Lineage: Eukaryota; Metazoa; Chordata; Aves; Piciformes; Lybiidae
Exons: 5
Source: RefSeq, a predicted model, not a curated record
CAAUCAGCGCGGGGGGCGUGGUCGGCGGCCCCGUUGGAGAGUGCUGCGGAGGAAGCAGCCGGAGAGGGGCGCUGGGAGCUGGCAGCGGAGCGGGACCGGAGCGGCUGCGCUGACUGCCUCCUCCUGCCUGCAGAGCGCAGAGCCGGGGCAGGGCGAAGCUCGGAGUCUCUCAGCCUCACAGCCGCCAGUGAGGCAGGGAGCAAAGCAGGAGCCUGCAGCACCGAGAGGCGGCGGCGAGCGAGGCUCUUGAGACGCCUGGCAGCGGCUCCGGGGGCAGAGCCGGCCCGGCCCAGGCGAGCCUCGCCACGGCCCUCGGCGGCUGCCGUCCGACUCCGUCCCGCCGGCGGGAGCCGCCCCGAGCCCUGCAGGCGUCCGGCCGCGGUGCUCGGCGACGGUGGCUGCCGGUGGAGCCCAGCGGCAGCGAGACGCCAGCGGCGGCAGCCUGCAUCGCCUCUGCUUCUCCCAGCCGGCAGAGGCUGCAAUGACAUCCCCCAGCAGCCUGCUUCAGGCGAAGCUGAAGAGCUGUAGCUCAGCCUUCCUUUGUGGCAGAGCUGUUCCAGCUCCCUGUCUCCUCCUGUGGCCUUCUCUGGACCUGCUCUUAACUGGUUGAUGCCUUCCCUGUGCUGGGGAGCUGGAUGCAGCAGGUGAGGAGGAGCCACAGCAGAGUGCAGUGGAAGGGCAGAAUCGCCUGCCCUGCUCUGCUGAGCACUUUGAAGAGCCAGGUAAUGACACAGUGCCUUGAGUCAAAGCCUCUUUCCUCCUGUGUGCUUCUGCCUGACCUCUCCCUGCUCAUGGAACUCCGUUUCUGUGACAAAAGGUCCUGCAGCUGCAGCAGGAGCUUGUGCACGCUGGCAGAGUGCAGCCUCUGGCAGAGUCCUCCCACGAAGCCCAGAAGCUUUCCAGCAGCUGCCUGCAGCAGGAGAGCAGUGAGCUGCAGAGGGAGAAUGUCAGUUUGCAGGAGGAGCUGGAGAGAUCUGAAGCUAAGGGUCCAAGGUGAACAUUGCAGGCUGAGCAGCACAGCCCAGGAGCAAGCCAGGAGCACUGCAGCCCUUCAUAAAGACCUGCAAGCUGCUGCCUCGUGCCUGUGGAUGCCUUGGCCAGAAGGUGCAGCUCCACCCUGCAGCGAGCAGACCUCCCAAGAGGAACGUCCAGGACUCAGAAGGGACUCACUGCCAGUGCCCAGAGCCGGAGGACCUGGCCUCGAUGGCAAGCUGCAGGGAGGCAUUCCUGGCUGGAGCGUGGCAAAGAGAGUUGGCCGUGGGCAGGCACAAGGUAGCAGGCCUGGCUGUGUGCUGCUCUCCAGCAGUGCCCCUGAGUGGAAGCGGAGCUGAGCCCAGCUCUGCUGUGCCCCCGUGCAGGGAGCUGCCUGCGAGCAGAGCCAGGCCUGGCCCUGGAGCUUGCAAGGUGCUUCUGCACAUCAGCCCCUGGGCUUCCAGAGCUGCACAGGGCCUGGCAGGUGCAGGCUGCCUGCAGUGCCCCUGGGAGGGCAGGAAGGCUUUUCUGCCUGCCUUCAGGGAAAGCUGAGGCCCUGCGUGUGGGGUGUGGUGCUGGGGGCAGUGCUGGCUGCUGUCACUGACUGCUGGCCCAUGGAGCACGGCACAGCUGUGCUGCCUGCAUGGGCACAUGGCAAAGGCCAACUGCUGCCUGCAGGUUGGAGGUGCUUCUGGAUGAGGCAGAGCUGAGGCCAGGGACGGGGAGAGAGAGUGAAUGGCAGCUGAGUGUCCGUGAGAGGGAGAAGCAGCAGGAUGCAGGCCACUGUGGUCUGGAGGAGCAAGGAGCAGCAGCCCAGCUGAGACAGAGCUGGAGACAGGACAGCGAGAGAGAGCUGAGGCAGGUGAAAAGAGAGGGAAAGAAAGCAGCAAUGCUAAAGGCAAAAACCAACCAGGAGAGAAAAAGUGAGGCAGAGAAAGAGUGGGAGAGAAAGAAGGCAAAAGAAAAAGCACAACAAAAGCUCUGCCAGAAGACUGCUCUGGUUUGGCACAGCCCUGGCCAGUCUGUGCCACCUGAUCAGCAGGCCCUGUGCUGGCUCUGGCCUCUGCUCCAGCCUCAUCUUCUUCUGCAGAGCCACAGCAGAGUGGAGUAGGAAGGGAGAGGAACCUCCUUCGCUCUGCUGGGCCCCCUGCAGGUUUGAGCAAGGACAGGAGUGAGAGGCAGCAGCACCUGGCCUGCUGGGGACUCCAUGUCCCUCUCCCCACUGCUAAUGAAGCACAAGGCUGAGAUCUUCCCCACUCUGCUGCUUGGGCCACGGAGAAGCAGUCGCAGGCUGCUGGCCUCAGCUGAGCUGCAGCAGCUGCAGGAGGCAGGGUGAGAGCAGGGGCUGAGGCCAAGCAAGUAAGGCUCAACUCUGGAGCUGCUCCUGAGUGCCCCAGGGGUGGAGGAACCUUUGCAUCUACUCUGCCUUGCAGUGGCUUCUGCUGCUGGGCACUGAGCCCAGAGGAGGCAGGGCAGGGCUGUGCCACAGCAACAAAAGGUUACUCUGGAGAGCUGGAGGGUUUAAUUUGGAGAGUGGGAAGCAUUCAGCCUGGGCCUGGGCUGCAGCCCCCAAGGGGCAGAGCGGAUCAGGGUGAGGCUGGCCCAGGCUCAGGAAGCUGACAGGGCAGGGUCAGGAGAAGCUGCAGGCAGCAGCAGACAUUUUGCACUGAGCUGAGCUGCAGGACUGGAUGAAAAAGCUGAAAGCUGAGCUUUGUGCUGGCCUAGGCAGCGGUGGGGAGCAGCGGGAGGGAAGCUGCUGGGGGCACAGCAGGGCUGCUGCAGAGGCUGAGGUGGGGCAGGGGCAGGCGGCAGCAGAGUGCCCGGAG